UAGAGUUUGAUCAUGGCUCAGAUUGAACGCUGGCGGCAGGCCUAACACAUGCAAGUCGAGCGGAUGAAGGGAGCUUGCUCCUGGAUUCAGCGGCGGACGGGUGAGUAAUGCCUAGGAAUCUGCCUGGUAGUGGGGGAUAACGUCCGGAAACGGGCGCUAAUACCGCAUACGUCCUGAGGGAGAAAGUGGGGGAUCUUCGGACCUCACGCUAUCAGAUGAGCCUAGGUCGGAUUAGCUAGUUGGUGGGGUAAAGGCCUACCAAGGCGACGAUCCGUAACUGGUCUGAGAGGAUGAUCAGUCACACUGGAACUGAGACACGGUCCAGACUCCUACGGGAGGCAGCAGUGGGGAAUAUUGGACAAUGGGCGAAAGCCUGAUCCAGCCAUGCCGCGUGUGUGAAGAAGGUCUUCGGAUUGUAAAGCACUUUAAGUUGGGAGGAAGGGCAGUAAGUUAAUACCUUGCUGUUUUGACGUUACCAACAGAAUAAGCACCGGCUAACUUCGUGCCAGCAGCCGCGGUAAUACGAAGGGUGCAAGCGUUAAUCGGAAUUACUGGGCGUAAAGCGCGCGUAGGUGGUUCAGCAAGUUGGAUGUGAAAUCCCCGGGCUCAACCUGGGAACUGCAUCCAAAACUACUGAGCUAGAGUACGGUAGAGGGUGGUGGAAUUUCCUGUGUAGCGGUGAAAUGCGUAGAUAUAGGAAGGAACACCAGUGGCGAAGGCGACCACCUGGACUGAUACUGAC
RNAcentral lists this ribosomal RNA (742 nucleotides) under Pseudomonas aeruginosa. Its description in RNAcentral is "bacterial SSU rRNA". It matches the Rfam family "Bacterial small subunit ribosomal RNA", at positions 1 to 744 of the family's 1533-position model. Lineage: Bacteria; Pseudomonadati; Pseudomonadota; Gammaproteobacteria; Pseudomonadales; Pseudomonadaceae. The record is from RNAcentral.